CAAGAGCGUAUGUAAAAGUUGUUGCAGUUAAAAAGCUCGUAGUUGAACCUUGGGUUUGGUUGGCCGGUCCGCUUUUUUGCGAGUACUGGAUUCAACCGAGCCUUUCCUUCUGGCUAACCAGUCGUUUCGGCGGCUGGCGAACCAGGAUUUUUACUUUGAGAAAAUUAGAGUGUUCAAAGCAGGCAUUAGCUUGAAUAUAUUAGCAUGGAAUAAUAGAAUAGGACGUUAUGGUUCUAUUUUGUUGGUUUCUAGGACCAUCGUAAUGAUUAAUAGGGACGGUCGGGGGCAUCAGUAUUCAGUUGUCAGAGGUGAAAUUCUUGGAUUUACUGAGGACUAACUACUGCGAAAGCAUUUGCCAAGGACGUUUUCAUUAA
RNAcentral lists this ribosomal RNA (374 nucleotides) under uncultured eukaryote. Its description in RNAcentral is "partial 18S ribosomal RNA". It matches the Rfam family "Eukaryotic small subunit ribosomal RNA", at positions 592 to 976 of the family's 1831-position model. The record is from RNAcentral.